AACGUAGGACGCAAGCGUUAUCCGGAGUUACUGGGCGUAAAGGGCAGGCAGGCGGGUCGAUAAGUCGGAUGUGAAAUCUCCCUGGCUUAACCGGGAGAGUGCAUUUGAGAUUGUCAACCUGGAGGGCAGCAGAGGAGCGUGGAAUUCCGGGUGGAGUGGUGAAAUGCGUAGAGAUCCGGAGGAACACCAGAGGCGAAAGCGGCGCUCUGGGCUGCACCUGACGCUGAACUGCGAAAGCCAGGGGAGCAAACGGG
Molecule: ribosomal RNA, 254 nt
Filed under: uncultured bacterium
Lineage: Bacteria
Description: partial 16S ribosomal RNA
Rfam family: Bacterial small subunit ribosomal RNA
Source: RNAcentral